UGGUGUUCGCAAUUGUGUGAUGUCGCAGUGUUGCUAAGCCAUCAUCUGUGGAAGAAUGACUGAAAGCCUCUAAGUCAAAAUUCGAUCUGGUUUGCGAAUUGAUUUUGGCCAUGUUUCAAAUCAGUACCUCCCGAAUCGCAUGCCAUUGCAAAAUUAUGCAGAAACGAACAGUUGGCCACGACCUACAAUUUCUUGUAGACCACUUGACGCAAUUCGGGUGCAGUGCGUGUGAAAGUAGUCU
Molecule: ribosomal RNA, 241 nt
Filed under: Scrippsiella hangoei
Lineage: Eukaryota; Dinophyceae; Peridiniales; Peridiniaceae
Description: partial Eukaryotic large subunit ribosomal RNA
Rfam family: Eukaryotic large subunit ribosomal RNA
Source: RNAcentral